RNAcentral lists this unclassified non-coding RNA (256 nucleotides) under plant metagenome. RNAcentral describes it as "partial contains small subunit ribosomal RNA, internal transcribed spacer 1, and 5.8S ribosomal RNA". The stretch from base 1 to 54 matches the Rfam family "Eukaryotic small subunit ribosomal RNA", at positions 1778 to 1831 of the family's 1831-position model. The record is from RNAcentral.
GGAAGUAAAAGUCAUAACAAGGUUUCCGUAGGUGAACCUGCGGAAGGAUCAUUAAAGUUAUAGUCCCCCGGCCCUCUGGGCUGGGGUCUUCUAUACCACCCUUUGUUUAUUACACCUUUGUUGCUUUGGCAGGCCUGCCCUCGGGCUGCUGGCUCCGGCCGGCUCGCGUCUGCCAGAGGACCUAAACUCUGUUUGUAUGUGAAGUCUGAGUACUAUAUAAUAGUUAAAACUUUCAACAACGGAUCUCUUGGUUCUG